This is a long non-coding RNA of Herpailurus yagouaroundi (jaguarundi), 1728 nucleotides long. RefSeq lists it as uncharacterized. The record is from RefSeq and is a predicted model, not a curated record. The transcript is spliced from 2 exons. Lineage: Eukaryota; Metazoa; Chordata; Mammalia; Carnivora; Felidae.
AUGACUCGAGCCAAAGUCGGACGCUGAACCGACUGAGCCCCCAGGUGCCCCAGGUAAUUUUUUUUACACAGGGUCCCCACGUUCUCCUUUUCUACCGGGCCUUCCCAAUCAUGCAGCCAUUCUUGUACAGACGCCUCGUGGGUGAGUGUGCCGAUCACACCCACGUUCCUCCUACACGACUCGGAGCACAGUGCUGCGCACAUGCUGCGCCCCAGGGGGGUAGGGUUUUCCCCACACCAAGAAAUUCUGCGGCACCAGCCAGGUGUCCUGCAGUGUAAGUCACUUGUGACGCCAUCCACCCGGAGACUGUCCCCACCUCAGACACCAGUCACAAGGCCAGGCUGUCUCUUGCGCUUCUGACCUACCUGCUCCGGAUGGGAGGCUCCCACGCCCCCCUCUCGAGUUCCAUAAUUUGCUGGAGGGGCCCACGGAGCUCAGAGCGUCGCUGCUCACCCGUUUGUCAUACGAGGACAGGAUGAAGGAGGCCGUGAACUCAGAUGGGAGGGGCGUAGGGCGAGGUACGGGGAGGGGUGCCGAGCUCCCGCCCCUCCCCAGGGGCACCCCUCUGCCAGCGCCCCCCACGCGCCCGUGUUCACCGGCCUCUGCUUUUGGGACUUUUACGGAGGCUUCACCAUGUGGACGUGAUCAUCAUUUGAGGGACCCUUUUCCAGCCCCUCACUCUGGAGAACGGGCUGGGCGAACUGAAUGUUCCGGGCUUCUGACGGCAGCUGGGUCUUUCCCGCGUCCAGCCCCCGCCCGGGAGCCACCUAGCAUCGCCUCGUUAGAACAAAGGAUCUAGGAGCGCGUGUCGGGAACCAGGGUCAAGACCAGGUAUCAGAACAGCGGUUCCUGGUGCUCUGAUCAGUUGGGAGGUGACGCGGGUUUAAGAGCUGUGUGCCAGGAACAGGGACGAGGACCAAAUACAGCUUUCUCAUUAUGAAUCACAAUAUCGUAACCAGAAAACGUCUUUCUUGGCUCGUAUUGUGUCGAAGCCUCCCACGUGCCUGUCGGCCACGCGUCACCCGUCACAUGUUUGGUGCCGUUGGCCGUUCUGCCACGAGAGCGCGUUUCGCAAACACAUCGAUUGUUUUAAAACAUGUUAGUGCGCACAUAUUAAGGGACUGUAUGGUAGGGAAUUCAGUGUCUAGAAAGCGACAAAUAAUUGCUUGUCUUCUUGUUGCCGUCUCCCACUCUGUAGUAGCGUUUUCAUAGUUCUUAUUCAGAGGACAACGUCCUCUCACACUGAAACGAUCCUACGUGAUUAGUGUAGAAAUGACCCUCUUGCGGGCGUGCGUUUUCACUUACUGUUUUAACAGAUUGCGGAGCGCCAGCUCUGUGUCAGGCCCGAUAGAGACUGCACCGGGGACACGGUAAUAAAUAAAACACAACCCUGGCCCUUGGAAUUCUCUGGUAGGAGUUAGAGCUUGAAAAAGAAAGAAACUCGAAGAUUAAGAACAGAAAUGUAAGGGAGAGGAAGACACAGAAGCAAUGCGAAUGCAGGAAAGAAAUGGCAUAAAAAGGCAAAACCACCUCAAAAUAAAAGAUAAAUAAAUCAUAACAUGCCCAAGGGAAAAAGAGCCAAAUUAAAUUUUAAUAAGGGGCCUUGAAGACAAGGCACAAAAGUAGCCAAGAGAAUGAAAUUGAGUUAAAGAAGGAAGUAAAAACGGAGCAGAGAGCGAGUUAUUGAAAUGGAAGUCAGUACGAGUCCCAGAAGAAGAAACACAGCGG